RNAcentral lists this non-coding RNA (97 nucleotides) under Rhizobium sp. Its description in RNAcentral is "TPP sequence". It matches the Rfam family "TPP riboswitch aptamer (THI element)". Rfam says of the family: Vitamin B(1) in its active form thiamin pyrophosphate (TPP) is an essential coenzyme that is synthesised by coupling of pyrimidine and thiazole moieties in bacteria. The previously detected thiamin-regulatory element, thi box was extended, resulting in a new, highly conserved RNA secondary structure, the THI element, which is widely distributed in eubacteria and also occurs in some archaea. Lineage: Bacteria; Pseudomonadati; Pseudomonadota; Alphaproteobacteria; Hyphomicrobiales; Rhizobiaceae. The record is from RNAcentral.
GAUGAGAGACAGGGGCGUCCGUCGAAAGACGGGCUGAGAAGCACCCUUCGAACCUGAACCGGAUCAUGCCGGCGGAGGGAGUCGCUCGGGGUUGGGC